UACGAAGGGGGCUAGCGUUGCUCGGAAUCACUGGGCGUAAAGGGUGCGUAGGCGGGUUUUUAAGUCAGAGGUGAAAUCCUGGAGCUCAACUCCAGAACUGCCUUUGAUACUGAGAAUCUUGAGUAUGGGAGAGGUGAGUGGAACUGCGAGUGUAGAGGUGAAAUUCGUAGAUAUUCGCAGGAACACCAGUGGCGAAGGCGGCUCACUGGACCGGUAUUGACGCUGAGGUGCGAAAGCGUGGGGAGCAAACAGG
RNAcentral lists this ribosomal RNA (253 nucleotides) under uncultured bacterium. Its description in RNAcentral is "partial 16S ribosomal RNA". It matches the Rfam family "Bacterial small subunit ribosomal RNA", at positions 524 to 776 of the family's 1533-position model. The record is from RNAcentral.